Molecule: unclassified non-coding RNA, 518 nt
Filed under: Hevea brasiliensis (rubber tree)
Lineage: Eukaryota; Viridiplantae; Streptophyta; Magnoliopsida; Malpighiales; Euphorbiaceae
Source: RNAcentral
GGUACCCAGUAUACCACUCAAUGUACGAUGACUUCGUCUGGAUGAAGAAGUUUGGUGACCCCAUGUUUCAAAGACACAUCGCAGCGGCUAGUGUUUGGGGUUUGGUUGCUCUUCAGUUAGCAGAUGAGGAGUUUUUACCUUUUAAUUAUCUCUCCUAUGCAUAUGAGCUCCAGAAAAGUGCAAAGGACUUGGAAGAUGAGAUCUCAGAUCAAGGCAUACGCCUUGAUCCCUUAUUCAAGUCCAUUGACGAUCUAACAAAAGCAGCCACCAAAAUAUAUAAUGAGAGAAAGGCAAUAGAAGAAAUCAGAGGCUGGGGAUCAAUAUUGAAGAAAGACCAUUUAAGAGUGAGAGAACUCAAUGACAGACUCAUGAUGGCAGAACGAGCAUUUACAGACCAAGAUGGACUCUCUGGGAGGCCAUGGAAUAAGCAUUUGAUAUACGCACCCUCAAAGCAUAAUGACUAUGGAUCCAAGUCCUUUCCUGGAAUUGAUGAUGCCAUUGACAAGGCAAAGAAGCUC